Molecule: small nuclear RNA, 156 nt
Filed under: Carassius auratus (goldfish)
Lineage: Eukaryota; Metazoa; Chordata; Actinopteri; Cypriniformes; Cyprinidae
Description: U1 spliceosomal RNA (ENSCARG00000022401.1)
Rfam family: U1 spliceosomal RNA
About the family: U1 is a small nuclear RNA (snRNA) component of the spliceosome (involved in pre-mRNA splicing). Its 5' end forms complementary base pairs with the 5' splice junction, thus defining the 5' donor site of an intron.
Source: Rfam by way of RNAcentral
AUACUUACCUGGCAGGGGAGACCAAGAAGGCGGUUCACCCAGGGCGAGGCUUGUCCAUUGCACUCCGGCCAUGCUGACCCCUGCGAAUUCCCCAAAUGCGGGAAUCUCGACUGCAUAAUUUAUGGUAGUGGGAGACUGCGUUCGCGCUCACCCCUG